RNAcentral lists this ribosomal RNA (325 nucleotides) under uncultured eukaryote. RNAcentral describes it as "partial 18S ribosomal RNA". It matches the Rfam family "Eukaryotic small subunit ribosomal RNA", at positions 1470 to 1796 of the family's 1831-position model. The record is from RNAcentral.
CCCUUAGAUGUUCUGGGCCGCACACGCGCUACACUGAAGGAGGCAGCGUGUACUCCUGGAUCGAAAGAUUUGGGUAACCCGCGAAUCUCCUUCGUGCUAGGGAUUGAGGUUUGCAAUUAUCCUUCAUGAACGAGGAAUGCCUAGUAAGCGCAAGUCAUCAGCUUGCGUUGAUUACGUCCCUGCCCUUUGUACACACCGCCCGUCGCUCCUACCGAUUGAAUGGUCCGGUGAAGCGCUCGGACCGCGGCCUCUUGACGGUUUUCCGUCGAUUGGCUGUGGGAAGUUCGUUAAACCUUAUCAUUUAGAGGAAGGAGAAGUCGUAACA